Daucus carota subsp. sativus is the source of this 440-nucleotide long non-coding RNA. RefSeq lists it as uncharacterized. The record is from RefSeq and is a predicted model, not a curated record. Lineage: Eukaryota; Viridiplantae; Streptophyta; Magnoliopsida; Apiales; Apiaceae. The transcript is spliced from 3 exons.
CAUAUAUGAUGAAAUAAGCUCUAUCCAAUACAUUUUAUUUUCUCUUUCUAGGUGCAUGGUGAAACAAAAUGUCAAGCUAGCCCGCUAGAAAAAACUGUUGAAAGUAAAGAGCCCUGCGCUACUCUGGCUUGUUAAAUCUCAUAUUGCCAGAUGACAUUCUUCCAAUUUUUUAGAUGAGCUUCUGGUUUGUAUUCCCGUUUUCUGCGGAGAUGAAUGCUGUGAGUAAGCGGAAAAAUGCGGAGGAAAAAGCAGCUUCUAAUGGUGAUCCCGUCAAACAUGUAGAACAAGUUGAGGCGAGGCGCCUUUGUUGAUGUUUUCUCAACAGGAACUUGUUUAUUACAAAAACUACUGUAGACCAGACCUAUUCAAUGACAUUUUUUAAUGUAAUACAUAGUCUUGUAAUAUGUUUUUAUUCAUAAAAUUGAAUUUUUCUAGUGUAA